GCCUACGGGACGCAGCAGUGAGGAAUAUUGGUCAAUGGGCGAGAGCCUGAACCAGCCAAGUCGCGUGAAGGAUGACGGCCCUACGGGUUGUAAACUUCUUUUGUCAGGGAGCAAUUGGGUCCACGCGUGGGCUUAGCGAGAGUACCUGAAGAAAAAGCAUCGGCUAACUCCGUGCCAGCAGCCGCGGUAAUACGGAGGAUGCGAGCGUUAUCCGGAUUUAUUGGGUUUAAAGGGUGCGUAGGCUGAAUAUCAAGUCAGCGGUAAAAUCCCGGGGCUCAACCCCGGCGAGCCGUUGCAACUGGCUG
This 305-nucleotide ribosomal RNA is filed under the name uncultured bacterium. Its description in RNAcentral is "bacterial SSU rRNA". It matches the Rfam family "Bacterial small subunit ribosomal RNA", at positions 337 to 639 of the family's 1533-position model. The record is from RNAcentral.